GCGAAACUAUCGUCGCUAACCUGCUCUUCAUCGUCCUCAUCAUCUUCAUCACAACAUUGAGAGAAUUCAGUUUCCACACUCGAACAUUCAAAGUCAUCCAGACUACUGUCGGCACUAAAACUACGGCCUCUUUUAGCCCGAGAACCCGAAGUUAAUACGCUACCAGAGCGUUUAGAAGGACCUGGCUCGUCAGUCAUUUUACUAGAAAAAGGUCUAUUUUUCAAACGACUGUAUUUUACAAACUAAUCGUGUGAACCCCGAUCCAACGCUUGAUUUUAAAAGACCGUUACUUUACGCGUGUGGCCACGUGCGUCACGUACGGUUAUCGCAACGGCCGGAACGAUACUGAUGCAUAGAAAAAUGAUACAUAGAAAAAUGAUGCAUAGAAAAAACACAGUCGCAAGCCACGGCGCCGUGUGACCGGCUUCCCGCCCCUCCACGGCGCCGUGUACUCGGCCAUAUACAUCUCCACGGCACCGUGUAGUUGGCAUUAAAUUUGUUAAAAAUACUUGCCUUGCGGCGAGCCCCAAUUUCUCGGAUCUCAGCGGUUCUAUUGAACACAGGUGGCGAUGCGCCGCAAUUACUACAGGACAAAGAAAAAACACGGCAAAACAGAAAUAACAAAAAGAAACGAAACAAAUAAAAACUUCCAGGAAAAACACUUGGUCCGCAGAUGUACCACGAACACAGGCCGCGCGAACAAUGGCCGGGCUAACAAAAGCCGGGCGAACAAAGGCCGAGCGAUCGAAUGGUCGAUGAGCACGUCCGCACGUGACGGGUGCUUCUAUCGGAAUGACGCCAUCUCGUGGUACAAUUUUCAAUUAAAGUUCCACGUGAUCCAUGAGGGAUAACGGGUAAAAUUUGCCGAAAAUCACCACAUAAAAGUAUCGUUUUUCCUGGUUUACGUUUAUCAUUUUCAUCACAUAGAUCCAACAAUAAUCUGGCUAUGAUUUUCAAAACUUGCAAUGGGCACGUAGAAACUUCACCAAUAAUUAUCAACGAUGAUGAAUGUAUGUCCUUGGACCAUAGCUACUAUUUGCAGUAAUAUUUACUACAGAAUUUUCUAAAAUGGAUGUGGCGUUCUCUACACAGCGGCAGACAUGCAAAUAUCGUAUGGUGUAAUGCGCACAAACAAACCUUGUGCCUUCUUAUACAAUACAACUGUUAAGCUGUUGGUGGAGUGUUUUAUUUCGGGAUAUAUUGUGGAACAAGCCGGGACAACUCCGUUUGUAACCGUACUUGUCGAACUCGACAAAGAGGUCGGCGUGCAACCCAUGCAUCAGCCCGCUGAGUUUCUCGCCGGAUCUUUUCAGCGGGUCGCGAUUCCGAUCCGGUAGUAGAUUCAUUCGCGGAGCAAUUGCUCUUGAGUUGUUAGGUCUCCUUGGAGGCGCUCGGGCAGUUGUUAGCAAAUCCCACCCCUCCUGGCUGAGCCUUUGCUCGCCCACCUGUCCUGGUGAAACUGGAAAGGCCUUCGGGCUACCAGUGAUCUUUCAAUCAUAAAAAAAAAAGAAAAAAAAAAGAAGUUUUUUGGGCGCGAAAACGUGAAAAAAUUAAGGCGCACUGAAUUUUAAAAUUUGUUUUAAAUAUUUUUAACAUAGUAAUUUAGUGUAUUGUUUUGUAAAAUAAUUUCAUAGUAUAUGGUGGAUAAGUUUGUAUAAAUAAUUCGUUAUGAGGAGAAGCGGGAAAAGGAAAAAAAAGAGGAAGGAAGAUGAGAGCGAAACGGACGAAGGGGAAGAAAAUUGUUUCUUUUCCAAUACUUCGGACUCAGAAAAGAGCGUAUGUAUCUUUCUCAAUGUAUUUGCAAACACGGCGUCUCAGGUGUUUUACAUUUGAGAACAAUCAAUAAAUUUAAAGUUGGUAUUACUUUUGACCUGGCCAAUAACGCAAAUGUUUUUUUGCAAAAUAAGAAGCUAUUAGACGAGCUUCGGUUAAAAGCAAGCAUACCGGCCUCCGAUACUGAAAUUACUGGAGUGUUAACUUCAGUACCAGUAGGAUUAUCAAAUAAAAAAAUUUCAACUUCAAUAGGUAGCUCUCGAAAUAUUAUUCGGGUUCGUAGGUUUAUGCGUAGGGUCAAGAAUGACAACGGGUUAGUCACAUUUCAACCAACACAGACAGUGGCAGUGACAUUUGCUUUUACACAACUCCCACAGUACGUAUAAUUGGAUUCUUGGCGACAUGAGGUAUCUCAGUAUAUUCCCCAAAUAAAACUAUGUCUAAGAUGUUUGAAGUAUGGUCACAUAGCUAAAUACUGUAAAAUGCACAAGUGUGCUCAAUAUGCACGAAAAAUCAUAACUUUAAAUCAUGCACAGUGGAAACAAUCAAUGCCAAAUGCGUAAACUGUGGUGGGAACCACGUUGCCAUCUCAUCUCAAUGUCCUAUUAAAAAGAAGAAAGUAGAAGAAAAUAAAAUAAAGUCUAAAACUGUUACUUAUGCAAAUAUAUUUGACGAAAAAUCUUUUCCACAACUUACGAACAGACAUAGUGUCCGAAAUCUUUAUGAUUUUUUUUUUUUUUUUUUUUUUUUAUUGCUUAGAUGGGUGGACGAGCUCACAGCCCACCUGGUGUUAAGUGGUUACUGGAGCCCAUAGACAUCUACAACGUAAAUGCGCCACCCACCUUGAGAUAUAAGUUCUAAGGUCUCAGUAUAGUUACAACGGCUACCCCACCCUUCGAACCGAAACGCAUUACUGCUUCACGGCGGAAAUAGGCGGGGUGGUGGUACCUACCCGUGCGGACUCCCAAGAGGUCCUACCACCAGUGAUUACGCAAAUUAUAAUUUUGCGGGUUUAAUUUUUAUUACACGAUGUUAUUCCUUCACCGUGGAAGUCAAUCGUGAACAUUUGUUGAGUACGUAUUUCAUUAGAAAAAUUGGUACCCGCCUGCGGGAUUCGAACACCGGUGCAUCGCUACACACGAAUGCACCGGACGUCUUAUCCUUUAGGCCACGACGACUCAAAUGAAUCUUCUAACAAUCAAUUCUUAAAGUAAUUCAUGAUCAAAAAAAUUAUAUACCAAUUAACACUGGUUCCAUACGUAACAUCCUGCUUGAAACUUUCAGUCAAAAUAUCUUAUUUCCUUCUUAAUGGAUCAUUUGAAUAUACAAUGGAACUCACAAAGUAUUCUUUGCAAUAGAUUAUACGAGCAAGAUUAUUCAUUUAGCAAUUAUAUGUGAAACUUGGCUUCGUCCAGAAACCGUUUUCAAAAUUAAAGGUUUUAACGUUGUUAGACAUGAUUCAGGCAAUAAGCACAAUGGAGUGGCCAUUUUAAUCAAAGAUACUAUUCAGUACAAGCAUUUGCCAACUUUUUCAGACAAUGGUCUCCAAAAUAUAUGUGUGACAUUUUUUUUUUACUAACAAAGAAUUAAGUUUAAUUAGUUGUUACUGUCCUACUUACAGUUAUCCCAGAUUCGAUAAAACUAAAUUUGAUAAUCUUAUAAAAUCUAUUCCACAUCCUUUUAUUUUGGCCGGUGAUUUCAAUGCUCACAAUACAUCUUGGGGUUGUAAUUCAACAUCACGUCGUGGUAGAGAGAUUUUAGACGUCAUCAAUGAUAAUUGUCUAGUUCUGUUGAAUGAUGGGCAGGUUACUACUGUUGCAUCUUCAUCAUGGCGUCCAAAUGCAUUAAGACCUUACAAUAGUUUCUCCAGAACUUGCCAUGUCUUGUGAAUGGUCUGUAUAUAACGAUCCUCUCGGCAGCUAUCAUCUUCGAGUAAUAAUUAAAUUCCAUUUAACAACUGCAACUGAUAUCCACAACACACUUCAUACAACUCUUCCUGUUUGUCCAAAUUACAAAUGUGUCGACUGGAAUUCUUAUAAAAAUAGUAUAGAUGUUGGUCUUCAAAAAAUAAAUUUCAGCCAAUAUUCAUCUUUAGAAAGUUACCAUAUAUUCUGUAAAUUAUUGGUUGAUUCAGCUCAGGCUUGUAGUGGCGUUUCUCGUAGUAGUAAAAAAUAUAUCAUCUCGUAAAGGUCGUAUUCCACGACCUAGACUGCCGUGGUGGAAUUUCAAAUGCUUUGAUGCUGUUGUAAAAUCUAAAGAGGCAAAUGUGAAAUUUAAAAAUUGUCCAUCACAAGAAAAUUACAUAAACUUUAAAAAACAACAAGUUUUUAAAAAACUUACAUUAAAAAUAGAAAAACAUAACAGUUGGGUCCGUCUUUGUGAAUCAUUCAAUCGCUCAACACCAUUGACUUUGAUCUGGAAACAUAUGAGGAAAUUUUGUAAAAUUUAUAAUUCAAAAGGAGAGCAAGAUGGUUGGGUUUUGGAGUUUCUUGAAAAAUACAGUUCUGUUUAUCAAAAUCAGCUACAAAUUGAAAAUGUUUUGUCAAUUAAUAACAACAGUUUUUAUGUGAUUCUUUUACUUUCCAAGAGUUGAAAUCUGCAGUCGCUUCUCGUAAAGAUACAGCAUUCGGUUUUGAUGGUAUUCCAUACAUUUUGUUUAAAAACCUCAGUGAUUCUGAGAAAAAUAUUGUUGAUUCUGAAUGAAUUGUGGUUAAAUAUUGAAAUCCCAACAGACUGGAAAAUUUACAUUUUAGUAUUAAAACCUCAAAAACCUAAAUACAAUGCUAAUUCUUAUCGCCCAAUAACUCGCACUUCAUGCGUGGGUAAACUUUUUGAACAGUUGUUAAAACAAAGAUUGGAAUUUUUUGUUGAAAAAUAUAAUUUAAUAUCUGACAAUCAGUAUGGUUUUCGUAAAGGUAAAUCUGCACAUGAAAGCUUCUGUCAAUUGCCUUUAGAUAUUUGUAAUAGUGUUGUAAAUAGAGAUUGUCUUGUUGCUGUAUAUUUUGAUAUUUCUGGAGCAUUACCAGUUUUGAUAUUGAUGUCCUCUUCAAAGAACUGUGUGGUUUAGGUGUACCUGUAAAAAUUGUAAACUGGGUUCAUAAUUUCUUACUAAAUAGAAAGGUUUAUGCUAAAUAUAAUGGUAAAAUUUAUGGUCCUAUGUCUUCUUCAACAGGUGUUUGUCAAGGAGGAAUAUUGUCACCCCUGUUAUUUCUUUUGUAUAUACACAGAUUAAAUGAAAUAUUAGGCACUAAUACAAAAAACUUACAGUUUGCAGAUGAUUUAGUAAUAUAGGCUAGUGGGAAAAAUAUCCAGCAAGUGAUUGCUGAUAUAAAUUUAACUCUAACAAAGUUACAUGAAUAUUUUAGUUACUUAAAGCUUGAAGUUAAUGCGGCCAAAUCAAAAGUUUUGGUUUUUGGUAAACAUUCUUCUAUUCCUCCUGUAGUAUACAACAACUUACCAUUGGUUCUGUCAUUAGAGGCUAAGUUUCUUGGUGUUUUAUUCACCACUUCAUUAUCCUGGAAUGAAUAUGUAGAAUUAAUUAUUGCAAGAGCCAAUAGAUCUUUGAAUAUAUUAAAGAGUUUGUCAAAAAUCAGUUGGGGGGCAGACCCUAAAAUACUGCUGAUGUUGUACAAAUCAUUGGUCAGAAGUCAUUUUGAAUAUGGUCUGUUUUGGUUCAGUCCAUAAACUUGUUGAUAAACUUGAUAAAAUACAAAACAAUGCUUUACGCUUAAUUACUGGUGCAUUUAAAACCACACCUAUUAAUGCAAUGCAAUUAGAGUGUAAUUUACCACCAAUCAAAAUCAGAUUAGAGCACCUAAAGGAAGAUUCAUUUUAAAAAUAUUUACAAAUAAAAACAAUACAUUACUUAUUUAUUUGUCAUCUGCUUCUUCAACUUUCUUCAAUAAAUAAUGUCCAUUUGUUCUUGAAAAUAUAUCUGGGUUUCUUCAAUUUCUCCAUGAUGCGAAAUUCAGCGAAAUGAAUCCCAUUUUCCUUGUUAUCAAGGUGAAUUUGAAAGUAAAUACCCUGAUAUAAAUAUAGUAAUAGAUUCUGAAUUACAUAGAAAAGAACAAGUAUAUGAAAAAUUUUAUUCUUGGCGAGAUCAUAGAUUCAUUUAUACAGAUGGGGCUAAAAAUGAUAUAUGCACAUCUUUUGCUGUUUGUGAUAGUGUCCUGAAAGAUGGACUUGGAUAUAAACUUGAUAACAACUUGAGCAUAUAUUCUGCUGAAGCUAUUGCAGUUCUGUCUGCAUUGCAACAUAUAUAUAUAAGCAUAAAAAUACUUUUUUAAAGUGGGUUAUUGCCACUGAUUGUAUGAGCCUAUUAAAAAGUCUAGAACACAAUGUAAAUAAAACAAAUGUAAAUUAUUUAGUGUAUAGUAUAAAACAACUUUUGUAUUAUUUGAAUGUAGUUUGUCAUGUAAAUAUUGUACUAGUUUGGGUUCCAUCCCACAUUGGCAUAUUGGGCAAUGAAAAAGCUGACCAUUUAGCAACCAUGAUAACAAAUUAUAGUGCGGGUUCUGUCCCAUAUUUUGAAGUUGGAAUUCCUUUCACAGAUAUUCAUAGUUGUCUUAAAAAUGGAAUGUGUGAUAACUGGAAGAAACAUUGGGAUCAUUCUACUCAAGUCUUAUCUAAGGGUACUUGGUAGUCUUUUGAAUUCCGAAGUAAAUAAAAGACCUUGGUUUUGUAAAGGAGAAUAUGUAAAUAGAAAGUUUUAUUCUAUUUUAUGUCGUUUGAGGUUUGGUCAUUGUCGUCUGAAUUACCAUCUAUAUCGUAUGAGAAUGAUUCUCAGUGACUUGUGUGAUCGUUGUGGAAAUGCUGAACAACAAUCUAUAAACCAUAUUCGAUUUUCUUGCCCAUCCUUUAACAUUUAGCGCCUUGUGUUAAUGGAUGAGUUACAGGACGUUUAUGGAUCUUCAAAUUUGGUACCGCGCUGCAUACAAGAUCUAUUGAAGAAUGAGUCUACAUACCAGUAUAUUUGUAAUUUUUUUGUUAAUACUGGAAUAGAAUUAUAAUUUACUUUGGUGAUCUGAAUUUUUUUAAAUUCAAUUUGACAUAUGUCAGUAGAUUUUCAAAAAAAGAUUACGGGACUUGACGUACCAACUAAGAAUAAUAAUGACUGAAAACACUCCCGGAUUAUGAAUAAUGAAAAUGUAGAAAAUGAAAUAAUAUACGGAAGACAAUACAUUGUUACUUAAAAACCUAAGACUAAUUUUACGAAAGACGAGGCUGUAAGGACUCAGUCCAUUGCCUGCUUGCAAGAGCAAAAUAUUAAAAAAAAAACAACCCCGUUUCCCUGCUACACGGACCACCACAAUGGGCGUAGGCAAUUUAAACACAUUUACCAUUCACUUUUGAAGAUGAAAUCAUAUUUCGUUGAAAAAGUGGCUCACCAUCAACUGUAUUAAAUAUUAUUGCUACAUCAGUUUGAGCUGCAUCAUUGAAACGCCGGAGAUCUAAAUCAUGAUUUACGUUAAUGAGCAUACAAAUUUCUUUAUUUUGAUUUUCAACUUUUUGACAAUGAUUUUUGUUGAUCGAACAAAAGGAUUACGCCGUUCUAAUUGGAGAUAAAAUUCAGGCAUUAUGUUGUUAGGUACAUGUUUGAUUAAAAUGUUCUUGUAAUCUACAAUUGAUAGCAGUGAUCAGAUCAUAAAAAUAUAAUUUGCACAUAACACAGUGAGCGACCAUAUGUAGCAGUCAUUGGACCCGAUCUGUGGUAAAAAAACCAUCAUAUAUUGUAUUGGAGACGUAGGUUCCCAGCUCAGUAGUUGUGUUUCAGCCAGUUAUCUUCGCGACACACACACACUAGGUAUGGACAAACCAAUCGAUCCCUGGUCGGGGAUGGAUACGGAGCUUGGUCAGCAAGGUGUCCUAGAGGUCCCCGAUGUACGUCUAGGAUUCAAAAAUGAGUAAAUGCACAUACGCACCUGGGUCUGCCAUACGGAGCUCCUGGACGCGUGCACUGUUCUAGAUUCACUAGGCCUUUUGUUAAUUUAUUAUAAUUGAACUUCACCCGCGGUCGUCGAAUUCGGUUAUGUUUUAAAUAUUAUAGAUUUGGUUGCGUGUUGCUCGGCUCCCAUUCGUAAUUGAUGUGUUGUGCAUGCGAUGUAGCUUCGCUGUCAUUUGAUGGAUUCGAACGUGGAGAUCGAUUGGCGUUGUAAAAUGUCACAUUUAAAAUAUACCGCAAAGACGGCACAUAUAUUUUAAAUUAAUACGCUCCAAUUGUAACUAGUUGCCUCGGAAACUUUAGCUUCUGAGCUAACCAUUACAAACUAUGUGUUGAGUGCCCUGUAGUCGCCGCACGGUCGCCAGCCGUCGACCUUCUUACGAGCGAGGUGAAGAGGUGAGGACCACGAACUUUCGAAUCUUCGAGCGGUGCCGUUCUGUAGCAUUUGUUCGGAUUCCUUUUUAGCAAUUUGGAGUCUCUCUGGGUCAAGACGUCGCAGACGGCUAGUUACUGGCGGACCCGGGGUUAUGUAUGCUUAGGAUCAACGUGUUUACCAGCUGGACGAGUAAUAUCAGGAUACUGGCGUAAUAGGUCGUGGUAUCUCGUACCUUCGUGGCUCAGUACUGUGUGAACGGAUUGUAGUUCGUCGAUCCGUCCCUGGUGUGGUGCUGUGACAAAAAGUGAUGUGAGUCCGUCGAGUAGCCUUUUGUUUCUGCAAUCGACUAGCAGGUUAUAAAAGCUGAGAAAGUCUACUCCAAUAAUCGGCUUUUAUACAUCAACUAUGACGAAACGCCAUCGGAAGUCUCUUCGAAGACCUAGGUCCAAGUGUAAGUUAACGUACCCGUAAGCAGCAAUUGUUGUGCCAUUCGCUGCGUAUAAUUCGUAUUUUGUUUUGGCUUGUACAAGAAUUCGUAUUGCUGUACGUGGGUAAACGCAUAAGUCCGACCCUGUAUCGACCAGGUACUGCACCUUACUUUUUCGCUCUACGACGAAGAUUCGGCCUGGUGACGCGGGACAACCGGUAGAGGCCACUAGCGGUUUCCCUCGGAGUUUUCCGAGGCGUAGCUGCACGGUUGUCUACACUUCUUUGCCUUAUCUCUAAACUCAAAGUGGUACCAGCAGUGUGGAUGGUCAUCUGGUCGUUGCCGUGUUUGAGUUCUGGAUCUGGAGCGUAUGUGGCGCGAGUUUGACCUGGAACGGAUGUCGCGUCUUCCAUGUUGUCUGCCACGGCGGCUCUAUAUAUUUACUUGCCUCGACAGCGCUUCUAUGCGUAGCUCUAAUGUAGAACUGGGUGUACUUGUCGAAGUAGUCCUUGAUCCGGCGCUGGCUAUUACGGGUGUUGUCGGUUGCACUAUGUCCACGAUGCAGUCGGCAAGCUCGGCUGCGCCUUCGAGGUCCAGCUUUGGUUGUGAUGCUACAACAGUCUGUAUGUUUACAGGUAACCGACUGGUCCACACCGUCCGCAGAAAGUCGCUUGGAAUAUCCGGUCCGGCCAAGUACUGCAGAUGCUGCAGAAAUUGGCUCGGUUUUCUGUCUCCCAGCUCCUCGUGUUGCAGCAACUGUAGCGGUUUUUUUUUCUCUGGACACGGUUAUUCGACGGAUUAGCUGCUCUUUAAACGUUUUGUAUUUAUCCGUAAGCGGUGGUGCAGUUAGGAUGUCUUUCAUCACCCUUGCGUACUCCUGGUUGAGCUGUGAUGAUACCGUGUGGUACAUGGUACUGUCGCUAAUAAUGCCAGCGAGGGCAAAUUGGCCUUCGACCUGCGCAAACCACACCUCCGGAUCUUCAGGGCAGAAGGGCGGCACUCGAACAGACACUCGGCUCACCUCUGAGUUCGGCCCUGUGCUAUCUCCGCUACCGCCGGCCGGUCCGCCGGUAUCUUCACUAGUUGACGCGCUGCUCUUAUCCUUUUUCGAAGCCAUGAUGCACUCGUGAUCACGUCGGGGUCACCAAUUGUAGCGGGUUUAUAUUUAGGUAUCAACCCACUAACUGUCGAUACGUUUGUAGCGACUUAGCUGAGACAGUCUGUGUCGAGUCGUCGCACAAUAAACAGGUUGCAAACUGUCGUGUCUUAUUAAUAAUUAUCACCCUGCAUAAUAUCUCACACGCUCAUAUAAGCACAGACUCAAUGUAGCAAACCUACAUUAAUGUCAUUCAUUCUAAAUCAUUCACUAGGUCUUAAACCAGUCAUAAUUUUCAGUCACAAAAUUCGUUUCCAUCGCUGUGCCUGUAAAAACCUUUGUACUUUCUAUAAAUACCAAUAAACACCCAGUAAUAGUGAUAAAGUGUUUAUAUUUCACAAGAACCACAAAACCUACAGUCCACUCAGUUAGUUCAACAUCAAACAUGGUCCUUACGAGCCGUAAAUAAGUGAAAUACAAGGAGUGCAACACGUGGUUUUCAACAUUCGUGCCACGAGUCAUCACACUACUCGCACGAAUUGGUACAGCAGCGAUUCUGCCGCUUCGAAGCUGCUUCUGGUGGAUCAUACUUGGGCCAAUCGAGCAUUCAUUUGUUGGACCAACAACCUCAAUCAGCAUCAAGAAAGAAGCAAAGCGGUCGGCCAUUUUGUCUUGUUCGACAAUACAUACAUUUUAGGUGUAAACAAGACAAAGUGCACCUGUGCAUCGAAGUAUCAAUAUACAUCGAUCAAGCAUACCAACAUCAAGAAGUGCAUCUCGUCAAGUUGGCUUCGUUCGUCUUUCGUCGCGCUAGAGGUAAUUCGGAGGCCGCCGGGAGUGACCGAAAAGAAAAAGGAAGGCGACGACAACACCAACUUCACAUCAAACGAGUAACAUUUGCACCAAUUUUUUUUCUAUAUUUAUUCGUUCUAUGAACGAACAAAACGGAACAACUCUGCUCACUAUUUCCGUUUCGAUUCGUUUUCGUUGUCAAAAACGUGACACGAACAACGCUAAAUUCGCCAUUUUGUGUUCUUGUUAAUUCUUGUCGAGUCAAUCGUUCAUCUUUGCAUAGAAAUUGUGUUAUUUUAUUUAAUUUUAACAACAUUGUUUGGAAUCUGGCUUCAUCAUGGAAAAAAGUGAUACUGAAGACGAUAAUCUUAUCACGACGAAAGAAAGAAGAGCAUAUAAGCAGCAAGCAUUAACAAAGUUAUUGACGAAAAUCUCAGCCACCGACUUCGCUGCAGCUUCCAAAGCUUCUUUAGCAGUCUUGGAGUCAAGACUUAUUUCGAUCUAUGCUGAAUUUGAAACCCUUUGUCAAGAAGCGUUCGCAUUGGGAGAUAAGUCAACGAGCAAAGCUGAUGAAUUUGAAGAAAGGUAUAUCAAUGCUCUAACGCUACUGAAAGAGAACUUAAGCCACUCAUCAAGCCAUAAUCAAUCCGAACAAAAAAUUAAAUUACCAGUGAUUCAAAUUCCACUAUUCAAUGGUAAGUCAAGUGAUUAUAAAACUUUUAUAGGAUUGUUCGAAUCUUUAAUAGAUAAAGACAGGUCAUUAUAUGACAUAAAAAAAUUAUAUUAUCUCCGUAAUUUUGUGACUAACGACCCUUAUGAUCUCAUCAAAAACUUGCCAUUGGUUGGUGAAAGUUACCAUGAAUCACUCAAAAUUGGCUGCCCCGCUAAACUAACCACGGAUCAAGGCAGACAAUUUGAAAGUAAUGUUUUUAAGGAACUAAUGAAGUGUCUAGGUAUUGUCAAGACACGCACUACUCCCUAUCACCCGCAAUGCAACGGGUUAGUGGAAAGAUGGUACCGUUCACUCAAGGCAGCGUACAUGGCCCGACUAGAUUCUAAGGCGUGGGUUGAAGAAUUACCUAUUGUUUUGCUAGGACUUCGUGCAGCACCGCGGACCGACUCAGGCGUCAGUGCCGCCGAAAUGACCUACAGGCAAACAUUGCGUUUAGCGGGAGAUUUUUAUAAUGAUAGUAUUAUACCUAUAUUAGAUCAUUGUCAAUACGUAAAGCAUUUGCGCGCUAUGAUAUAUAAUUUGAAACCUAAACCGCUACCGCGUAAGGAUGCUCAUACAGUGUUUGUACAUAGCGAUUUGAAUAACUGUACUCAGGUUUUUGUUCGUUCAGAUAUAGUUAAAAAAUCGUUAGAACCUCCCUAUGAAGGACCUUAUAAAGUCCUAAAUAGAACAGAUAAAGUAUUUUUAGUGCAAUUUCCUAACCGAGAUGCGUAUAUAUCAGUAGACAGGUUGAAACCCGCUUAUAUGUAUACGGCAGAGGCAGAAAAUAAUUUGGUUAUUAAAAAUAACUUAUCAACGGAUAGACUUAAAAUAAGUGACCACAACAAGGAACCUAUCGGAACCUCCGAGAAUAGCGAUCAAAAUCGCUCAGCUAAUUACCGUGUUACACGUAGUGGUCGUAUUGUGAAACCACCGGUACGUUUCGCUGAUUAACGGAGGGUUCCAAUAUCCAAAAAACGAAUCGUUUUAUAUUACGAUCCGGUACAAUAUCUACGAAUCGUAGGACAAAAUAGUUCCUAUAAAAACGACUCGUUUUUUAAAUUACUGAUGAUUUGCUACUAACGGAUGGGAGGGCUAACAUAACGGUUCGUACUGCGUUUUGUAUGGAGACUGUUGUCUGUAGUGUUCCUGUAUUAUUUUAGAAAUGUCAGUGAGCUGUCAAAACUACCACGCGUAGAGCAUUUUAUAACCUACCGAUUUUGUUCGGUUGUGCUUUGGAAUUUUUGUGUUUGUGUUUUUUCUUUUAAAGUGUCGAGUUCAGAAAGUGAUAACGAAGUUUUAAUGUUACUGAAUUCAAGCGACGAUUCAAGUGAUGAUACGCGAAGUAAUAGAGUGUAUUAAACAAGAAUCAAUUAUUAUUCAGAGCUCGAUAAUCAGGAGUUUCAACUAAGAUUUCGGCUCGACAAGCAGUCUGUGCAAUUACUGUUAGGUGAAAUUUAUCCUUUUUUAAAGGCAAAAGGAACCAGGUUCGUAUUUUUAAUGCCAGCUGUUAAUUGGUAUUUUAUGAAGUAGUUAACUAUUUAACACGUGAUUACAUGAAAAUAGUAUUUACUAGUUUAUUUUAAUUCUAGGAAUCAUGGAAUAUCUCCCUUACAUCAACUGCUAUUAACUUUAAGUUUCUAUGCCUUAGGAACUAUGCUACUAUCAGUAGCAGACUUUAUAGGUGUUUCGAAAGCAUCAGCAUGUCGUACUGUUCGCGACGUCAGUAAUGCUAUAGCACAGCUAUAUAGCAAGUACAUCUACAUGCAUUCCGAUACCGAACAAGACUUUUAUGCUGUUUCAAGAUUCCCAGGUGUCCUUGGUGCACUUGAUGGUACACACAUUAGGAUUCAGUCACCAUGUUCUCAGAUUGGAGAAGAAUUUAGAAACCGAAAAGGUUACUUUUCCCUUAAUGUCCAAGCUAUGUGCAAUGCAGAUUUAUUAUUUAUGAAUGUGGUGGCUCGUUGGCCAGGUUCAGCUCAUGAUGCCACAAUAUUUAAUAAUUCAGACUUGCGAGCUCACCGUGAAAAUGGCUCAUUUGGAAAUAAGUGGUUACUUGGAGAUAGUGCUUAUCCCUUGAAGCCAUAUUUAUUAACGCCACUAAUUAACACACAGACACGGGGCCAACAGCUUUAUAAUGAAGCCCAUAUUCGAACAAGAAACUGCAUUGAAAGAUGUUUUGGUGUUGAAACGAAGAUUCCCUGUUGUAGCCUUAAAAUUGCGCCUGAGCCUUCUAAGAGCCAAUGCAGUGAUUAUAGCUACAGCUGUACUCCACAACAUUUGUCGACUGAAGAAGCUUGAUGAUAUAUCACCAGAAGUAGAAAUUCCUGAGGCAGGCCUACAGAAAGUAGCACUGAGGAAACUUUUAGUACAGAAAGAGCUAAUUUGAUUGCAGAAUAUUUCCAUAAUUUAUGAGGAUUGAACUCUUCAGAACAGUAUCUACAAUUAAGUUUGCUUACAAGUUGUAUGGUCUGAAAUUACUAAAUAUGUUUAAGUACCUACACAUAAGAUUUAACUGAUUUGCUUAAAGUUAGGAAGGACAUGCAUUAUAGGCUGUUACUGCAUUUUUUGCUUGGUAUUGUACAGUUUAAACAAUAACGAAAUAGACGUUAGUUAUAGUCUUCCUGUUGUAGUCAUCCUUCUGAUCCUAAUGUAAUGUCAGGGAGAUUGAUGUUAACCUAUCAUAAAGGUCUGACCAUGAUGUGUGUGUGCAAGAUGUAAAAAUUAUUUCCGACCCUUAGGUAGGUUUAUAAUAAUUAUCAGUUAUUAAUAGUAGGUUAUAUUGUAUAUUGAUAUACCUAAAGGAAAUUUUGAUUAAAGGGAAAUGUGAAGGUUUUAUGUCGUGUGAUUUAAUCCUGGUAUGCACAUUCAUUGCUCUACCCCUAAAAUAUAAAUCGCCACAAUACCACCAUAUUUUUAUGUAACAGUAAUAAAUACUUUCUUCUGGUUUAUAGGGCAAAAUGGCAGGUCUUUUGAUAAGCGCUGAUGCUUUUGAGUAAAUAGGCGAUAGUUACUACUAUGCACCUAAUGUGCCAUGAUAUGCUGAUCUGUCUAUAAUUAUAACUAGUAUUUUAAAACAAACUAGGUAGGUAUUUAAAAUUAGUAAAUAAAAUAAAAUAAAUUGAAAAUACAAUUUUUAUCUUUUUUAAAUACAAAUACAAUUUUAUAAAAUACAAAAAGAAAAUACAAUUUUUAUCUUUGCCUUAUUUUAACAAUUUAAAAAAAAAAUUGUCAUAAACUUAUCCUAAUUCCUAAUAACAUGGCACUAAAGGGUAAAAAAACUAGUUAAUAUAAAAAAUGGAUAUGGUUAAUAUUAAAAUAAGGCUAAAAAAUUAAAUUUAGAAUUUCAGUUGCUAGUUCUAAGUACUUUUUAAGCACUAUUGUUAUCUUUGUCUGAAAUUUCUUUCUUUAACAGCUGAAUUUCUAAAUCUAAUUUUUCAGCCUUCUCAUAAUAUUUGGCCAUAGCAAGAUUUAGUUCAAGGCGCCCAUCAUCUCUUGCGUCUUUUUUCUUCCUUGCUGGAAUUGAAAAAGUAAUUUAGAUAAGAACACAUGAAGAGAAAUGUUGAAUUGUCUCAGUACUGCAAUAAGUAUUUAUUAUUAUUAUAAUUUUUACUUAAUAUAUAGGUACCUUUGGUUUGCAAGCAUUUAGACAUGCUCUGCAUUCCGAAAAAUUUUUUUGGUGUAAAUGAUCUUUGGUCUUCUAAUUGCACCUCACAUGGUGCUUUGUUUUAUUGUCUGAAAAUAUAUUAUUCAUAAAAAGAAUUAAUAUAUUAUAUAAAUAAAGCAUCAAAAAUCCAUAUUAAUAAUUAAUUAAUGUUACCUCUUUUUGGACUUGGACACAGAACCACAUUCCCUUCAGUUUCGGGUUCACAAUGAUCCGACUGGUUCUGAAGUUCAAGCCCACCGACUUCCAAUUCCAGCACCAUACCAACGCCUAAUCCGUCACCACCAAAAGGGACAUCGAACCCAGUGCAGGUCGACCCCAAAAGAGAUGUUACUUUUUCUAACAAUUCAUCUGGUGGGAUGAAGUCAGGUUUUCCACCACCAGUCUGUAUAAAAUAAAAAUUAUACAUAUUAUUUAUUGUAAUUUCUGCAUUAUAAUGUAUAUUAAAUUAAGGCAUAAAACCUGUACUUCGAAAAAUAAUAAUGAUUACCUUUAGACUAUUCAUUCGUACUUUUUGUGCUCUCUUUCGGGCCAUCUUUUUCAAAUUGUCCCAUUUUAAUUUGAGCUGUUCCUUCUGCUUGGGGAAGGAGCCACACUUGGCAUUGUAGGCAGCCGUAAGGGCCACCCAUGCUUCUUUUUGAGUCUGUUGGUAGUGGCGUUGGUUUCCUUGCUCGUAAUUAUAGGACUGCCUUCUAUUAUCUCUAUGAGACAUGCAACUUCAUCCUUUCCAUCCAAGAAAUUGGUAGGUUCUUUUUUACACGAUUAGAAAACAUUUAAUCCACAAUAUUUGAACACGGAUAACUUACCGGAAACACUUCCAUUUUUAGCAGUUUUAUGUAAGUUUAAGCUAAAAAUUAUUUAACAAUAUUAUAAACUAGAUAGUGGACACUAAAAUAAGGUACGUUAGUGAUAAUUUAUCAGUUUGUAAUGAAAUAAACGAACAACAAAGUACGACGCUAACACAAUUUUUUUGGUAUUUUGGCGCGGUCCGGCCGACAUCUGGCGUUUCCUUUGUCUCUUCAUGGCGUUUUGUUCACAUUACAGUUAAAACUAAAGUAACUGUUUUUAAAUUGUGAAUGUUCAAAUAAAAUUACACAUGUGAUGAAUUACAAUUAAUUUAUAUUAUUUUAAAAUAUUUAUGUAAAAAUACUAAUAAAAACUUAUGUAUUUUGAAAA
RNA transcript from Bombyx mori (domestic silkworm), 15957 nucleotides. It is a transcript of the gene named putative nuclease HARBI1, with no coding region annotated. Lineage: Eukaryota; Metazoa; Arthropoda; Insecta; Lepidoptera; Bombycidae. The record is from RefSeq and is a predicted model, not a curated record. The transcript has 6 exons.